This 3830-nucleotide long non-coding RNA is filed under the name Sus scrofa (pig). RNAcentral's name for it is "lncRNA (ENSSSCG00000053769.1)". The record is from RNAcentral. Lineage: Eukaryota; Metazoa; Chordata; Mammalia; Artiodactyla; Suidae.
CAGACUCUGAGCAAAGAAAAUAAGCAAGGACAUAAUAUCCCUACUGUAUAAACAAUGCACUGAUAAACUGGAAACAAUGCCCUGUCCGACACGCUUAUAAUGCCCUGCUGCUUAGGGAUGUGCAAUUCCAUUAAACUCACUUUCCUUGUCAACACAAGUGGAAUUUGUUUCAAAUUAAUGACAUGUAGGGAUUUCAGUGUUUGUUGGUCAAAUUUACCUCUCUCCCUGAGAGAACAUAUGGAAAUGAGGAGCUGUAUCUUUUAUCUCUGUGACUGAUAUGACCUCACCAUAUGGACAUGCUUACUCAGAAUAAAGUCUGGAGGAACUUUGUUGAAUUCACAUAUUCUCAACCCUGUCAGAGGAGGACUCUAAUUGACAGGGCUUCUCUAAGAAUAGGUGCCCUUUGCCAUUCCAGAAACAUUUCUUUCUGUAUAGAGAAGGUCAAAAAUAUUCUCACUCACCAGUGAAUAGGUUUUGUGUUGACAGUUUCUGAUGCCAGUGGGGACUUAUUAAAUUAGUUUCCAUCAAACUCUGAAAAAUUUUAAAACAUAUCUCAAGGUGGGCACCCCACAUAUACUCCGGAGAAGCAUAUUUGGAGAAAAAUUAAUAUCCUAACUAAGGCUGCAUGGUCCUACCUAAAUACAGAGACUGCCUUUCCGGAAUGAUCAACUUCAUUGAAAUUUGUUUUGUCUGAUCCUUGUCAUGUAUCAUACAGCUUUUAUCACUGUUCAAAGAAAAUGGAGUACAUGAGUUUUCUGCUUUCUUUAACUUUAGAGAAUACACUUUUUACUUUAUAUUUUGCAAGCUGAUACCUAUAAAAUAAAGUUUUUAAAUAUUGGCUUAACUUUUUAUAAUUACCCAUGAUCCCUGUAUUAAACAAUAUGUAAAAACACAAAGAAAGCAAUACAUUUCCCUAAAUAUCUAGAAGUAACCAUUGUUAACACCUGAUUCUAGAGUUUUGCUAAAUAGGUGGAUGAAUAGAUAAAUAGAAAUAACUCCAUAAAAAUAAAUAAUACAUACACUUUAAAAAGUAAAAAGUGAUAUGUAUCAGUUUACUUUCAUUUAACAGAUGAAAAAUAAGGUAUAAUAAGAGGGCUAGGAUCUCCAAAUUUUAAAUAAACAUUUUUCCUUUUCUUUUUGCUGCAAGAGAUAUUACUUUAUUUUUAUAAAUCUUCAGGUAAAGGAUCAUGAAGAACAUUAAGAAAUUGAAGUCAUGCUUUAAACAUUAUUUAGUUUCAAUUAAUAGAAAUGAAAGAAAAUUAAGGGACAUUAGCCCUCUUACAUUCAGUAUUUUUAAAAUUACUUUUCUACUUAUAUUUCUAACAUUCUAGUCUGUAAUCAUAAUUCUUAUACUUGUUUAGUGCGAUUGUAUAGUUAAAAUGUUUAAUGUUCCCUACCAGCUCCUCAAUUCCUAUGCUCUUUAUGUUUUUAUUUAGCUAUUUCUUGGAUGAAUUUCAUCAUCUACCUCUUCUCAAUUUUCUGCAAAGUAUUUCUGUAUUCCCUGAGAAUUUUUCUUAUUUGAGAAAGUUUGCCUAUUGCCUUUCUAGCCUUAGAGGGAUUUUUUAAAAUUAUUUUUUAUGGCACACUCACAACAUGUGGAAGUUCCCGGGGCCAGGGAUCAACUCUGAGCCACACUUGCAAUUUAUGCCACAGCUGCAGCAAUGCUGAUCCUUAACCCUCUGUGCCACAGCAGGAACUCCUAAACCAUUGUAUUUUGAUAUUCAGUGUUGCCAUAUAUUUUCUCACAGCUAUAAUUUACCACAAUAUUAAUUAUACCAGCUAGGUGAUCAUUUUACAUAUUUAUUGGAACUAUCUUUCCUGGAAACAUCAAUCAUCCUUUUAUUUGGCCUAGUUGCUCUUCAGGGCUGCUGUAUAUCAACAUCUUAAGACUCCCUUUGCUGUCAUCCUUCACCAUACUCUGUGCUGGUGUCCCUAAUGAAAGACUCUUAUACCAUCCUCUUCAUUGGUCUGUUUUUGGGCUUUGGCCAAGCCCUCUCUGAAGUAGCAUCAUCAGUCUAGAAAGACUGAGGAUAAGCUGAGGAUGUCCAGAUACCUAUCUUUGGGGUCAUACUGCUCCAGUUUCAACUGGUUGUCCUCUAUGGUCAUCACCAUAGGCUCUCCCCUCUUAACUGUCCUGGAUAUUGUCUUCCUCUUGUGGGGUUGGAUCACUGUUGUCCUUUAGGUUAUUGUUCCAUUUCAUAUUGGUUCUUGGUUUAUUCUUUCAUUUUGGUAGAAUUUUCUUGCUUCCAGUAGUGCCAAUAAAAUCUAAUUCUGAUUCUUGAGCAUUAGGUCAUGACUUCAUCUUUAAAACUUUAUGAAGUCUAUUCCUAUUAUUCCUGGAAUUCUAAAAAUUCUUGAUGAUAUGGUAUUGGUGAGAGGAGUUCUUAAGUGAUUUUUCUACUUCUUUUUUUUUUUUUCUCUUUUUCUCUCAGGCAGCUGUUACUAACUACUCAGAUAUUAAAUCUUCUGGACCAGGUUUUUAUUACCAAAAUCUAAUGACUUUUUUUCCUAAUGGUGCAAAAUAUGUAUUUGCAAAGCUGUAGGACUGAGUAUCUAAUUUUCUUACUCUUACGAAGUCUUACAUUUUAAAAUAAUUUUAAUUGGUAAUUUGAUUUUUAAUGAAAUGAAUAUAUUUUAAAAUUGCAUUUUAGUUAGCAAAUUUGACUGUCUUACUCCAGACACAAUAUUGUGAUGUACAGUGACAAUAUCUUUAAAUAAAAAUAAUAUAUAUGGUAGGUAUUUCUAUUUGUUUUAUGGUAUAAAUACUGAACACCAAUUCUAUUAUUUUUUUAUAUAAUGAUUUUUAUUUUUUUCCAUUAUAGCUGGUUUACAGUGUUCUGUCAAUUUUCUGCUGUACAGCAUGGUGACCCAGUUACACAUGCAUGUAUAGAUUCUUUUUUCUCACAUUAUCAUGCUCCAUCAUAAGUGACUAGAUAUAGUUCCCAGUGCUACACAGCAGGAUCUCAUUGCUUAUCCAUUCCAAAAAAAUAUAGAACGCUUCACAAAUUUGCAUGCCAUUCUUGCACAGGGGCCAUGCUAAUCUUCUUAUAUCGUUCCAAUUUUAGUGUAUGCGUUUCCGAAAUGAGCAUUAUUAUUUUUAAUAUUUAGGGGAAUUAGGAAUCUAGGGCACAUGAUUUACUACCAUAUUUUCUAUGUAACAUUGAGAACCUUAAUAUUAAGAAUAUCCAACUUUAUUUUUAUUAUCAGAUGUCAAUUUAUCUGUUUUGAUUUUGUCUGAUAUAUAUUUUUAAAAAAAACAUUUUUCCCAACAGUGAAUCUCUUUUAGAAAUAUCCAGCUUUAGGGGAUAACAAAUCACCUAACAGGAGAAGAAGAAAGACAAUGCUUGGAAUACUGAAUCAAGGAAUUUAUUGUUGGCAAGAAUAUUUGGCUUGUUAACCUAAUAAUAUACCUUAAGAUAAAACAAAUUAGUUACACUUCAAAGAAGAAAAUACAUGGCAACUGAUGCCAAUAGUUUAAAAUACAUUAUUGACUGCAUUUAAUAAAUAAAUAUUAUUAUGGGAUUUUUUCAAACCUGAUUAUUAUUGUUAUUACUGUGGACAUUUUUCCUUAUUUUUUUUCUAAAAGGGAUUCCUCAGUCAUAGAAAUAUGUUUUGAGAGGAUUUUAGAGUCCAUUACAACAUCCUUAUUGUUCAACUCUCAUUUUUGUUAGUCACAUAAACUGUUUUCUCAGCUUUUUUCUCACAGUGCAUCCAUUCUCUAAGAGAGAGACAUUGGGCACUGCUGGUUUGGAAUAAAAUGUACUACCUAUUAAUGAGCAGAGCUUUGCUAUUUAGAAAUUGUACCUGGCCCCACAGUUAUCUAAAUGUAA